This is a long non-coding RNA of Symphalangus syndactylus (siamang), 4828 nucleotides long. RefSeq lists it as uncharacterized. NCBI's taxonomy places the organism in Eukaryota, Metazoa, Chordata, Mammalia, Primates, Hylobatidae. The record is from RefSeq and is a predicted model, not a curated record.
GAGCUCCAGGCCACGUACAACUGCAGUCCCGGUUCCCCGCCAGCAGCACAACCUGUGUGAGAGCACAGGGUAUCUGGGCAGAAGGAAAACUAGGGGAGCCUCAUCCAGCGCUAGAGAUGGAGAAGCUUUGGGCUCCUCGAAGGCGAGGCACCCGGGAACGGGGAGUCACUUAGAACCUCAAAGUAGCCUCGGACGGGAACAAGCAAAGCAAUUCCAAGCUCUACCAGGGCACGGAGGGCGCGAAACCCGCCCCGCGCACCGGCCGGCCGGCAGGGGGCGCGCGCUCCCCGAGCUCCCGCGCACCGCGGAGAGGGCGGCCCUGGCGCGGAGAAGCAGUGAGAAAAUAGCAUGGAAGCCGGUGCACGUGCCGUAUGUGACUUGGCUUGGCUUCUCCUGAAAGCAGCGGCUGUGGGGAGUUGAUUCGGAAGUGAAGCGCCCUGGGCGACCCGGCGAGUGGAGCCAACACCAACCUCCUCCUUAGCGAGGGGUCUCCCCGCCGCGGUGGCUGCCCGGCCCCAAGGACGGGAGGGAUUUGUGCACUGACUCCUGACCCCGUCCUCCGGCGCUGCUCUGAAGGGAGAGUCUGUGCAGUGGCACCUGCGCGAAGCUGGCCAAAGCCUGCCCAGACUGCUCACCUGUGCGGGAUGGAAUAAAAGGUGAGCCCAGGGGGCCUGAUAAAAUGACCUCAGCAGCCGCCUGUGGGAAGGGACCCUGAGGAAAGCACCACAGUGACUACCAAGCCUGGAUGGUUUUACUGCUUAGUUUUUUAUUUUAUUUUAUUUAUUUAUUUUAGAGACGGAGUCUCGCUCUGUCACCCAGGCUGGAGUGUGGAGCGCAGUGGCCCGAUCUCGGCUCACUGCAACCUCUGCCUCCCCGGUUCAAACAAUUCUGCCUCACUCUCCCGAGUAGCUGGGAAUACAGAUGCACUCUGCCACGCCUGGCUAAUUUUUGUGUUUUAGUAGGGACAGAGUUUCACCGUGUUGCCCAGGCUGGUCUCAAACUACUGAGCUUCGGCAAUCUGCCCACCUCGGCCUCCCAGAGUGCUAAUAUUGCAGGCAUGAGCCACUGCCCCUGGCUUUUUACUUUAUUUUUUGGACAGGCAGGGCAUGGUGGCUCACGCCCGUAAUCCCAGCACUUUGGGAGGCCGAGGCCAGUGGAUCAUGAGGUCAGGAGUUCAAGACCAACCUGGCCAAGAUAGUGAAACACUGUCUCCACUAAAAAUAUAGAAAAAAUAGCCAGGCAUGGUGGCGGGCGCCUGUAAUCUCAGCUACUCAAGAGGCUGAGGCAGAGAUUUGGUUGAACCUGGGAGGCAGAGUUUGCAGUGAACCGAGAUUGCACCACUGCACUCCAGCCUGGGUGACAGAGUGAGACUCUGUCUCAAACAAAACAAAACAAAUUUUUUUAAAGAUAAAAAUAAUUAACCAGGUGUGGUGGUGCGUGUCUGUAGUCCCAGCUACUUGGAAGGCUGAGCCAGGAGAAUUGCUUGAGCCUAGGAGUUUGAAUUGCAGUGAGCUAUGAUCAUGCUACUGCACUUAGCCUGGGCAACAGAAUGAAGCCCCAUCUUUAAAAAAAAAAAAAAGGACAUGAAUUGGAUUGUGUCACUUGAACCUUCAGUGGUUGCCCUCCAAGUAGAAUCGGCUCCCUCCCUGUCCAGCUUGGGGGCUGCUGCUCCAGGCCCUUGGCCUCUUAGCCUCAAAGCCUGCUUCCCGCUGCCUGACCAGGCCCUAUCACCUGCCAAAUCCCAGGUUACGCAUCACUUUCUCAGCAACUCUCCCCAACUCCCAAAUAGCUCCCAAUUAGGGGCUCUCACUGUAGUGCAUAGCGCUUGCUGAAACUCGUAGCUGUGGACUGGAUUGUAAAAUUACUCAUUUUUCUUCAUCUCCGUGCUGGAUUCUAAGCUUCUCCAGGAAACGGAUCUUUUCUCCUCUGAUCAUCCCAGGGCCAGGCAAAUGGAAUGUACUUGAACAUUCACUGGAUGGACAAAUGCGUGAAAUGAAGACACAAAUGCAGAGCUAGUAAGCAGUGGGCCAAGCAUCCUUCCAAAUGGAGAAUGAAAUGAUGAAGACUCGGGCCAGGUGUGGUGGCUCACACCUGUAAUCCCAGCACUUUGGGAGGCCAAGGCGGGCAGAUCACCUGAGUUCGGUAAUUGGAAACCAGCCUGACCAACAUGUAGAAACCCCAUCUCUACUAAAAAAUACAAAAUUACGAAAUUAGCAGGGCGUGGUGGCACACGCCUGUAAUCCCAGCUACUUAGGAGGCUGAGGCAGGAGAAUCACUUGAACCAAAGAGGUGGAGGUUGCGGUGAGCCAAGAUCACGCCAUUGCACUCCAGCCUGGGCAACGAGCGAAACUCGAUUAAAAAAAAAAAAGGAAGGAAGGAAAGAAAAGGAAAGAAAGAGAGAGAGAAAGAAAGAAUGAGAAAAGAAAGGAAGAAAGAAAAGAAAAACAAGGAAAGAAAGGAAGAAAGGAAAGUAAGAAGGAAAGAAAGGAAGAAAGGAAAGAAAGACAGAAAAAAGGAAAGAAAAAAGAAAAAAGCAAGAUUAUGAAGACUCAAAAAUGUAAGGAGCGGCUGGGCAUGGUGGCUCACGCCUGUAAUCUCAGCGCUUUGGGAGGCCAAGGCAGGUGGAUCACAAUGUCAGGAGAUGGAUACCAUCCUGGCUGACACAAUGAAACCCCGUCUCUACUAAAAAUCCAAAAAUAAUUAGCCGGACAUGGUGGCAGGUGCCUGUAGUCCCAGCUAUUUGGGAGGCUGAGGCAGGAGAAUGGCGUGAACCCGGGAGGUGGAACUUGCAGUGAGCCGAGAUGGAGCCACUGCACUCCAGCUUGGGUGAUAAAGUGAGACUGUCUCAAAACAAACAAACAAACAAACAAAAAGGCUGGGCGUGGUGGCUCACGCCUGUAAUCCCAACACUUCCGGAGGCUGAGGCGGGUGGAUUACCUGAUGUCAGGAGUUCAACACCAGCCUGACCAACAUGGUGAAAUCCCAUCUCUACUAAAAAUACAAAAAUUAACUGGGCACGGUGGCUCACGCCUGUAAUCCCAGCACUUUGGGAGGCUGAGGCAGGUGGAUCAUGAGGUCAAGAGAUUGAGAUCAUCCUGAUCAACAUGGUGAAACCCUGUCUCUACUAAAAAUACAAAAAAUUAACUGGGCGUGGUGGCAGGUGCCUGUAGUCCCAGCUACUCUGGAGGCUGAGGCUGGAGAAUCGCUUGAAUACAGGAGCUGGAGGUUGCAGUGAGCCGAGAUCGCGCCACUGCACUCCAGCCUGGCGACAGAGCAAGACACCGUCUCAAAAAAAAAAAAAAAAAAAAAUUAGCCGGGCGUGGUGGGGCGGGAAUCCCACCUACUCGGGAAGCUGAGCCUGGGCAGCAAGAGCGAGACUCCGUCUCAAAAAAACAAAAAAGAUAUUUGAUUUGGCUUUACACAGUGAGUGACCUGGCUGAAGCCUUGGGAGGUUCGCACCGGAAAGUUCAAAACCAGCCGCCUGUGUUGUCGGCCUGAAGGAGGCGCGCGGCGUGAACCGGAGAGGACGUGCUCGGGUCCCUCCCCAGGUGGCCGUCAGGCAGACCCUUCUCCUCAGCCGACGGCCGGACACUGGGGACGCCUUUGUUUCUGCCGCUCAUGGUGUCUGAAUCCACAAUUUGUUUACGUGGUUGUGGAGCUGGACUCGGGGUCGGAAGGACAGUCUCCUUCAACACAACAGUGGGGCUCCAGCGAAGGCCGAGAGACGCGGGGAUCCCAGCUGGGAGGGCGGACCGCACUGCCUGGCCGUGGCGGGGGAGGGGGAGAUACCCCAUAUCCAGGCUCUAACCGAGACUCCCUUUUCUUAAGUCUCCGCAGCUUGCAGUGCACCACCCGAGCAUGUCCCGGAGGCGGCCGAUGCUGUUUAUCACUCAGAAAUGUAAAGUUUGUUUGAGAGGGGGUCUCCUCACUUUGCCUAGGUUGGAGUUAAGGGGCGCGAUCUCAGCUCACUGCAUCCUCCACUUCCUGGGCUCAAGUGAUCCUCCCACCUCAGCUUCCUGAGUAGCUGGAACUACAGGCAUGUGCCACCAGGCCUGGCUAAUAUUUAAAAAAAAAUUUUUUUUUGAGGUCUCGCUCUUAUUGCCCAGGCUGGAGUACAGUGGCAUGAUCUCGGCUCAUCACAACGUCCUCUUCUUGGGUUCAAACAAUUCUCCUGCCUCAGCCUCCUGAGUAGCUGGGAUUACAGGCCUACGCCACUGCACCUGGCUAAUUUUUUGUAUUUUUAAUAGAGGCGGGGUUUCACCAUGUUGGCCAGGCUGGUCUUGAACUCCCGACCUCAGGUAAUUUGCCUGCCUCGGCCUCCCAAAGUGCUAGGAUUACAGGUGUGAGCCACCGCACCCAGCAUGUUUUUAACUUUUUGUAGAGAUGGGUGCCUCAAUAUGUUGCCCAGGCUGGUCUUGAACUCAUGACCUCAGGUGAUGUGCCUGCCUUGGCCUCCCAAAGUACUGGGAUUAUAGGCGUGAGCCACCACACGGAAACUAGAUCAUUUUUUCUCAACUUUUUUUUUCAUGAUCACCAUCUUAAAGAUCCUUUCUAGCUCUUUUUUCCUAGUUUCCCACCACAUGACAUUUUAAUAACAUAGAUAUACCGUAACGUAUAUCUUUUUAUGUCCUGUGGCCCUUUGGAAGGCAACAAACCAUUACGUUACCUAAGAUUUAUUUCCUUCCCCCUCACAGCCUCCCCAUCCCACUACCCCCAUGCAAUCAUACCACAAUUUAUUCCAUACUUUAUUAGACAUUAAGUUGUUUUCUAAAGCUUCCCUAUUUCAUGCUGCUAUGAACAAUCGUGUAAUUAAAUCAGUGCAAAAGUA